Molecule: non-coding RNA, 477 nt
Organism: Melozone crissalis (California towhee)
Lineage: Eukaryota; Metazoa; Chordata; Aves; Passeriformes; Passerellidae
Source: the annotation of a RefSeq genome assembly
AUGCUCUGGAUCCGCCAGAGACCCCGAAAGGCGCUGGAAUGGCUCGUGGGGAUCACCAGUGGUGGCACCACCGCCUACGCGCUGCCUGUCAAGGGCCGGCGGGCGGCCGUGACCCUGCUGGAGUGCGGGGGGGACCUCCAGCCCCCCGGGGGGUCCCUGCGCAUCCUCUGCCGAGGGUCUGGGUUCAGUUUUGGGAGCUACGACAUGUACUGGAUCCGCCAGAGACCCGGGCAGGGGAUGGAAUGGGUUGCGAGCAUCUACUACAAUGGUGCCAACACCUACUACGCGGAUUCGGUCAAGGGCCGGUUCACGAUCUCCAGGGACAAUGGGCAGAGCUCGAUGACGCUGACCAUGAACAACCUCAAGGACGAGGAUUCUGCCGUUUAUUUCUGCGCCAAACGUAGCAGUAAUGGUUAUUGUUCUGCUGGUCCUGCUCUCCCAACACCACCAAACACGGAGCCGAAACCCGCGAACUAG